This 1320-nucleotide ribosomal RNA is filed under the name Bacillus sp. (in: firmicutes). RNAcentral's name for it is "bacterial SSU rRNA". It matches the Rfam family "Bacterial small subunit ribosomal RNA", at positions 55 to 1358 of the family's 1533-position model. Lineage: Bacteria; Bacillati; Bacillota; Bacilli; Caryophanales; Bacillaceae. The record is from RNAcentral.
AUGCAAGUCGAGCGGACAGAUGGGAGCUUGCUCCCUGAUGUUAGCGGCGGACGGGUGAGUAACACGUGGGUAACCUGCCUGUAAGACUGGGAUAACUCCGGGAAACCGGGGCUAAUACCGGAUGGUUGUCUGAACCGCAUGGUUCAGACAUAAAAGGUGGCUUCGGCUACCACUUACAGAUGGACCCGCGGCGCAUUAGCUAGUUGGUGAGGUAACGGCUCACCAAGGCGACGAUGCGUAGCCGACCUGAGAGGGUGAUCGGCCACACUGGGACUGAGACACGGCCCAGACUCCUACGGGAGGCAGCAGUAGGGAAUCUUCCGCAAUGGACGAAAGUCUGACGGAGCAACGCCGCGUGAGUGAUGAAGGUUUUCGGAUCGUAAAGCUCUGUUGUUAGGGAAGAACAAGUGCCGUUCAAAUAGGGCGGCACCUUGACGGUACCUAACCAGAAAGCCACGGCUAACUACGUGCCAGCAGCCGCGGUAAUACGUAGGUGGCAAGCGUUGUCCGGAAUUAUUGGGCGUAAAGGGCUCGCAGGCGGUUUCUUAAGUCUGAUGUGAAAGCCCCCGGCUCAACCGGGGAGGGUCAUUGGAAACUGGGGAACUUGAGUGCAGAAGAGGAGAGUGGAAUUCCACGUGUAGCGGUGAAAUGCGUAGAGAUGUGGAGGAACACCAGUGGCGAAGGCGACUCUCUGGUCUGUAACUGACGCUGAGGAGCGAAAGCGUGGGGAGCGAACAGGAUUAGAUACCCUGGUAGUCCACGCCGUAAACGAUGAGUGCUAAGUGUUAGGGGGUUUCCGCCCCUUAGUGCUGCAGCUAACGCAUUAAGCACUCCGCCUGGGGAGUACGGUCGCAAGACUGAAACUCAAAGGAAUUGACGGGGGCCCGCACAAGCGGUGGAGCAUGUGGUUUAAUUCGAAGCAACGCGAAGAACCUUACCAGGUCUUGACAUCCUCUGACAAUCCUAGAGAUAGGACGUCCCCUUCGGGGGCAGAGUGACAGGUGGUGCAUGGUUGUCGUCAGCUCGUGUCGUGAGAUGUUGGGUUAAGUCCCGCAACGAGCGCAACCCUUGAUCUUAGUUGCCAGCAUUCAGUUGGGCACUCUAAGGUGACUGCCGGUGACAAACCGGAGGAAGGUGGGGAUGACGUCAAAUCAUCAUGCCCCUUAUGACCUGGGCUACACACGUGCUACAAUGGACAGAACAAAGGGCAGCGAAACCGCGAGGUUAAGCCAAUCCCACAAAUCUGUUCUCAGUUCGGAUCGCAGUCUGCAACUCGACUGCGUGAAGCUGGAAUCGCUAGUAAUCGCGGAUCAGCAUGCC